Molecule: ribosomal RNA, 432 nt
Filed under: uncultured bacterium
Lineage: Bacteria
Description: partial 16S ribosomal RNA
Rfam family: Bacterial small subunit ribosomal RNA
Source: RNAcentral
ACGAACGCUGGCGGCAUGCCUCACCCAUGCCAGUCGCACGAGACCUUCGGGUCUAGUGGCGCACGGGUGCGUCACGCGUGGGAACCUGCCCUUAGGUUCGGAAUAACUCCCCGAAAGGGGUGCUAAUACCGGAUAAUGUCUUCGGACCAAAGAUUUAUCGCCUUUGGAUGGGCCCGCGUUGGAUUAGCUAGUUGGUAGGGUAAAAGCCUACCAAGGCGACGAUCCAUAGCUGGUCUGAGAGGAUGAUCAGCCACACUGGGACUGAGACACGGCCCAGACUCCUACGGGAGGCAGCAGUGGGGAAUAUUGGACAAUGGGCGAAAGCCUGAUCCAGCAAUGCCGCGUGAGUGAUGAAGGCCUUAGGGUUGUAAAGCUCUUUUACCCGGGAUGAUAAUGACAGUACCGGGAGAAUAAGCGCCGGCUAACUCCGUG